AACCCGCCUGCGUGAAGUUGGAAUUGCUAGUAAUCGCGGAUCAGCAUGCCGCGGUGAAUACGUUCCUGGGCCUUGUACACACCGCCCGUCACACCAUGAGAGUCGGGAACACCCGAAGUCCGUAGUCUAACCGCAAGGAGGGCGCGGCCGAAGGUGGGCUCGAUAAUUGGGGUGAAGUCGUAACAAGGUAAC
RNAcentral lists this ribosomal RNA (192 nucleotides) under uncultured bacterium. RNAcentral describes it as "partial 16S ribosomal RNA". It matches the Rfam family "Bacterial small subunit ribosomal RNA", at positions 1309 to 1500 of the family's 1533-position model. The record is from RNAcentral.